AAGUCUUUAAGUUAAGUUAAACUAUUAACCUUCAAAGUUAGAAAUAUUCUUUAAGUCUUA
RNAcentral lists this transfer RNA (60 nucleotides) under Carinata rufipenna. RNAcentral describes it as "tRNA-Trp". The record is from RNAcentral. RNAcentral also lists the same sequence under 1 other name. Lineage: Eukaryota; Metazoa; Arthropoda; Insecta; Hemiptera; Cicadellidae.